GACGAACGCUGGCGGCGUGCUUAACACAUGCAAGUCGAACGGAAAGGCCCUGCUUUUGUGGGGUGCUCGAGUGGCGAACGGGGGAGUAAAACGUGAGUAACCUGCCCUUGACUGUGGGAGAACUUCAGGAAACAGGGGCUAAUACCGGAUAGGAGAUCCUGAUGCACGGGGGGGGUUGGAAAGUGUGGGCGGUGGUGGCUGGACUCGCGGCUUAUCCGCUGGUUGGUCGGGUAGUGGCUGACAAAGGUUUUGACGGGUAGGCGGCCUUGGAGGGUGGCCGGCCACCUUGGGCCUGAGGUACGGCCCAGACGCCUACGGGACGCAGCAGUGGGGAAUAUUGCACAAUGGGCGGAAGCCUGAUGCAGCAACGCCGCGUGCGUGAUGACGGCCUUCGGGUUGUAAACCGCUUUCGCCUGUGACGAAGCGUGAGUGACGGUAAUGGGUAAAGAAGCACCGGCUAACUACGUG
RNAcentral lists this ribosomal RNA (468 nucleotides) under uncultured bacterium. RNAcentral describes it as "partial 16S ribosomal RNA". It matches the Rfam family "Bacterial small subunit ribosomal RNA", at positions 28 to 507 of the family's 1533-position model. The record is from RNAcentral.